GAAACAUAAUGAAGGUUAUGACCAUAGAUAUAUGGGUAUAUGACCUCUAUGCAUAGCCACAUAUGGACCUCUAAAUAUAUCUGGACACCAGAAAUCAAUUUAUAAUGCUAAAUGCAAGCAUUUAUUUUAUAUCAAGAUUUUGUUGGCAUCUCACUUGAAUAAUAGUUGAAGGGUUUGUAGAUAGAAACUAUCGAGUGUAAUCUUUAACAAACAUUUUACAAAUUAUAAUCUCUUAUUUAAAUUAAUCUCAUAUUUAACGAUUCUCUUAGUGGUAACAGUGCGACCGAACAGUAAAUAUGAUUUUUUGCAAGUAUAAUAUUUGGAUCAUUCUAACAAGAAAUGUAAUAUAUCUUUAUAGUACAAAGUUGCUGGAUAUUAUAUGAUGACAAUUAUAGAUGAGUUUCAAAUUAGUUUUUUUUUUUUUUUUUUUUUUUUUUUUGGGGGGGGGGGGGNNNNNNNNNNNNNNNNNNNNGGGGGUUUACUGCUAAAACCAUAUAUAUAAACAAUGCUUUUCAUCACGGUUAAUAGUUAUAUUAACCGUGUUUUCAUUGAGUCAAGGGCGGAUUUUCAUUUAUUUAAAGAGGGGUAGAAAAAUUUCUGGUGGGGUGCAAGCGGCACCCAAUGGUUUGCGGCGCGACUAAUAUCAGAGGAACGGGGCAAUUAAUCUAAUGACAUCAUUUCCGGCAGUUUGACAGUGAAAAUUAAAAGUUGACAUAUAUGAGACCUUUACUGUAAAGAUAUAAUACAUUUCGUCUCAUAGUAACCGAAAUAUUGCACAUAAAGUACUACUGACUCCACGACCUUGGUAACCUUGGUAAUCUGACGAGUUAACUCUAGUUCUGUCGGACUAAGAGUCCAUCUUCAGUGUAAAAAUGUUUAAAACGAUCUUAGUCUACACACGAGUCAAGUCAGUUAUAACGUCUUUAGCCAUUUACUACAGUAAACUUAAUUAGAGCCUUACGUAUGUAGAUGACUAAAAGACGACAUAAAUACUGGAGCCAGAUAUGUAGGAAUUAAGGUGGCUCCCUACAG
This 1032-nucleotide long non-coding RNA is filed under the name Paramuricea clavata. Lineage: Eukaryota; Metazoa; Cnidaria; Anthozoa; Malacalcyonacea; Plexauridae. The record is from RNAcentral.